AAUGAACGCUGGCGGCGUGCCUAACACAUGCAAGUCGAACGGUCGCAAGACAGUGGCGGACGGGUGAGUAACGCGUGGGAAUCUGCCCUCAGGUGGGAAAUAACAGUGGGAAACCGCUGCUAAUAACCCAUAUGGCGAAGGCUGAAAGAUUUAUCGCCUGAGGAUGAGCCCGCGUCCGAUUAGCUAGUUGGUGGGGUAAAGGCUUACCAAGGCUACGAUCGGUAGCUGGUCUGAGAGGAUGAUCAGCCACACUGGGACUGAGACACGGCCCAGACUCCUACGGGAGGCAGCAGUGGGGAAUUUUCGGCAAUGGGCGAAAGCCUGACCGAGCAACGCCGCGUGAGUGAUGAAGGACUGUGGUCUGUAAAGCUCUUUUGUGAGGGACGAAUUCUGACGGUACCUCACGAAUAAGGAUCGGCUAAUUCCGUGCCAGCAGCCGCGGUAAUACGGGGGAUCCAAGCGUUAUUCGGAAUUAUUGGGCGUAAAGCGUACGUAGGCGGUUUGCCAAGUCUGGGGUUAAAGCCCGCAGCUUAACUGCGGAUCGGCCCUGGAAACUGGCAGACUUGAGUAUGGUAGGGGCAAGGGGAAUUCCACAUGUAGCGGUGAAAUGCGUAGAUAUGUGGAGGAACACCUGUGGCGAAAGCGCCUUGCUGGACUGUAACUGACGCUGAGGUACGAAAGCCAGGGGAGCAAAUGGGAUUAGAUACCCCAGUAGUCCUGGCCGUAAACGAUGGACACUAGGUGUGAUGCGUAUCGACCCGCGUCGUGCCGUAGCUAACGCGUUAAGUGUCCCGCCUGGGGAGUACGCACGCAAGUGUGAAACUCAAAGGAAUUGACGGGGGCCCGCACAAGCGGUGGAGCAUGUGGUUUAAUUCGAUGCAACCCGAAGAACCUUACCAGGGCUUGACAUGUCGAGAAUCCUGCGGAAACGUGGGAGUGCCUUCGGGAACUCGAACACAGGUGCUGCAUGGCUGUCGUCAGCUCGUGUCGUGAGAUGUUGGGUUAAGUCCCGCAACGAGCGCAACCCUUGUUGUCAGUUGCCAUCAUUAAGUUGGGCACUCUGGCGAGACUGCCGGGGACAACUCGGAGGAAGGUAGGGAUGACGUCAAGUCAGCAUGGCCCUUACGCCCUGGGCUACACACGUGCUACAAUGCGGCGGACAAAGAGUUGCGAACCUGCGAAGGGGAGCCAAUCUCAAAAACCGUCGCUCAGUUCAGAUUGGAGGCUGCAACUCGCCUCCAUGAAGUCGGAAUCGCUAGUAAUCGCAGGUCAGCAUACUGCGGUGAAUACGUUCCCGGGCCUUGUACACACCGCCCGUCACACCAUGGAAGCUGGUCAUGCCCGAAGUCGGUGUACCCGCCGAAGGCAGGGCUGGUGACUGGGGUG
Molecule: ribosomal RNA, 1386 nt
Filed under: uncultured bacterium
Lineage: Bacteria
Description: bacterial SSU rRNA
Rfam family: Bacterial small subunit ribosomal RNA
Source: RNAcentral